UCUCUGGUAGCUCAGAGGUUAAAGCGUCUGCCUGCAAUGCUGGAAACCCCGGUUCAAUCCCUGGGUUGGGAA
Molecule: transfer RNA, 72 nt
Filed under: Ovis aries (sheep)
Lineage: Eukaryota; Metazoa; Chordata; Mammalia; Artiodactyla; Bovidae
Rfam family: tRNA
About the family: Transfer RNA (tRNA) molecules are approximately 80 nucleotides in length. Their secondary structure includes four short double-helical elements and three loops (D, anti-codon, and T loops).
Source: Rfam by way of RNAcentral